AACGCACAUUGCGCCCGCCAGCACUCUGGCGGGCAUGCCUGUCCGAGCGUCAUUUCAACCCUCGAGCACCGCUCGGCGUUGGGGGAGCGGCCCGCGCGCCGCCCCCCGAAAUGCAGUGGCGACCCCGCCGCGUCCUCCCCUGCGCAGUAGCUCUCCAGAGAACCUCGCAUCGGCGGCGCGGCGGCGGUCACGCCGUGAAACACCCCCAAGAGUUGACCUCGGAUCAGGUAGGGAUACCCGCUGAACUUAA
RNAcentral lists this unclassified non-coding RNA (250 nucleotides) under uncultured fungus. RNAcentral describes it as "partial contains 5.8S ribosomal RNA, internal transcribed spacer 2, and large subunit ribosomal RNA". Lineage: Eukaryota; Fungi. The record is from RNAcentral.